RNAcentral lists this ribosomal RNA (301 nucleotides) under uncultured bacterium. RNAcentral describes it as "partial 16S ribosomal RNA". It matches the Rfam family "Bacterial small subunit ribosomal RNA", at positions 509 to 807 of the family's 1533-position model. The record is from RNAcentral.
CAGUAGCCGCGGUAAUACGUAGGGUGCGAGCGUUAAUCGGAACUACUGGGCGUAAAGCGUGCGCAGGCGGUUGUGUAAGACAGGUGUGAAAUCCCCGGGCUUAACCUGGGAACUGCGCUUGUGACUGCACAGCUAGAGUAUGGCAGAGGGGGGUGGAAUUCCACGUGCAGCAGUGAAAUGCGUAGAGAUGUGGAGGAACACCGAUGGCGAAGGCAGCCCCCUGGGCCAAUACUGACGCUCAUGCACGAAAGCGUGGGGAGCAAACAGGAUUAGAUACCCCUGUAGUCCCUGUCUCUUAUAC